GACGAACGCUGGCGGCGUGCCUAAUACAUGCAAGUAGAACGCAGUUGCGAACGGGUGAGUAACGCGUAGGUAACUGCCUCAUAGCGGGGGAUAACUAUUGGAAACGAUAGCUAAUACCGCAUACUGUGAGAUGGACCUGCGUUGUAUUAGCUAGUUGGUGAGGUAAAGGCUCACCAAGGCGACGAUACAUAGCCGACCUGGGAGGGUGCUGGGCUACAAGGGGACUGGGACACGGCCCAGGUGCCUACGGGAGGCAGCGGUAGGGAAUCUUGGGGAAUGGACGGAAGUCUGGACAAGCAACGCCGGGUGAGUGAAGAAGGUUUUCGGAUCGUAAAGCUCUGGUUUUUGAGGAGCGGUAACUAACCAGAAAGGGACGGCUAACUACGUGCCAGCAGCCGCGGUAAUUC
This 407-nucleotide ribosomal RNA is filed under the name uncultured bacterium. RNAcentral's name for it is "partial 16S ribosomal RNA". It matches the Rfam family "Bacterial small subunit ribosomal RNA", at positions 28 to 526 of the family's 1533-position model. The record is from RNAcentral.